Molecule: ribosomal RNA, 425 nt
Filed under: uncultured bacterium
Lineage: Bacteria
Description: partial 16S ribosomal RNA
Rfam family: Bacterial small subunit ribosomal RNA
Source: RNAcentral
GUGGGGAAUAUUGGACAAUGGGCGCAAGCCUGAUCCAGCCAUGCCGCGUGAGUGAUGAAGGCCCUAGGGUUGUAAAGCUCUUUCACCGGUGAAGAUAAUGACGGUAACCGGAGAAGAAGCCCCGGCUAACUUCGUGCCAGCAGCCGCGGUAAUACGAAGGGGGCUAGCGUUGUUCGGAAUUACUGGGCGUAAAGCGCACGUAGGCGGAUAGUUAAGUUAGGGGUGAAAUCCCAGGGCUCAACCCUGGAACUGCCUCUAAUACUGGCUAUCUAGAGUCCGAGAGAGGUGAGUGGAAUUCCGAGUGUAGAGGUGAAAUUCGUAGAUAUUCGGAGGAACACCAGUGGCGAAGGCGGCUCACUGGCUCGGUACUGACGCUGAGGUGCGAAAGCGUGGGGAGCAAACAGGAUUAGAAACCCCUGUAGUCC